This is a long non-coding RNA of Pecten maximus, 6245 nucleotides long. RefSeq lists it as uncharacterized. The record is from RefSeq and is a predicted model, not a curated record. NCBI's taxonomy places the organism in Eukaryota, Metazoa, Mollusca, Bivalvia, Pectinida, Pectinidae. The transcript is spliced from 2 exons.
GCAAAAGUGAUAUUUUUCACUAGUGAAAAAUAUGAUAUUUUAUCACUUUUAUAGAAUGAAUAAUUUUGAUAUUUCACUGGUAAAAAUGUAAUGAUAUAACCUACUACUGCAUUGGGAACAUUCCAGAUGUGCGUAUCAUGUAAUUAAGCUGAACUGAGUAUCAAAAUUAAACAUUGACUUGGCGGUGUUCACAUAGACUAAAAUGCCUGAUAAUAGGCUUUUCCACCACCUAAAUAUCUCAGUCAGUCAAAAGGGCACUGAAAUUCUGAGUGCAAUCAACUGUGGUUAUCUGAUGAUGGGGUUGAACAGGUCAAAUAGGGACAAAUAUGUGCAUGAUGGGAGAAAAAUCUGGAAAUGAUGGGAGAAAAUGCCAUCUCAUACAAUGUACAUGCAAUUUAUUCUAUCAUCGCCUGGGCUGGUGGACAUGAGCCUAUGCUGUGCUGCGGCAUCUUGUCACCAUUCGUCGUCAACUUUUCAUUCAAACAACUUCGUCUCAAUAACCAAGAGGCCCAGAGAUCUGUCAUUGGACUUGUUGUUGCCAGUAUAUAAAUAAAUGUUUCUAGAUGAUGUCUACCAUAAUAAUGCUCACUUUUAAUGAUAUGGUCACACCUUGUGAGCUUCGAUCCUAAACCAAGCACAUUUUCUUACUUAAUACAGAUAUUUCUUGGCUGUAUUAAUAUUGUGAACAUUGUUUUUUUUAACAUACACACAUUCCUGAUUUUUUUUUCUGUUCCUUUGCCAUGUUGAGACCUAACACUUUGUCAUUAGAUAGAUAUCACUUCAUUUUGGGCUGUGAUCAUUAAAAGUUACUGAUGCUAUAGAAAAUGUUGAAUCACCAAAAUUAUAUACCUUUGAUUUUAAAAAAGAAAAUAUGCUAUGAUUGUUGAUCAUUAGUUAUUUAUUUAUACCUAGACAUUAUUAUUGUUACAAGGCCAGAGUAAUGAUGUAGAUAUUUUUUCCCUAACCAGUAAAAAAAACAUUUUUGUAUUAGUACUUCAGAUAGGGUAAUAAUUUAUGCUGAGGCUCCAGUGAGCGUCGGAGAAUAGUAUCAAGUGACAUUGUAGUUUGGUUUGUAAAUUGUCUAUAUACCAUUAAUCAUUUUAUAUUUUUCUGUGCUCAAUAUCACAGCAUUUUUUUAAAAAUUUGUAGCGUUUUGUAUAUUGUGCUGAUGUAUAUUUUGUAUGCAUAAAACAGUAGGCGUAAUGAUUGUCUAUUUGAAAAUACUUACAGACACAUGUAACUUGUACAGGAUUUAAUGUGUUAUACAAUCACUUUGAUAAGAAGUAUACAUUCCAAUAGUGCUGUUUUUAUACAAUUUUAUAAAGAGCUGCUGAUUUGUCUUCCUGCCUAGAGAUAUAGUAUAUAUCCAGCUGCCUUUAUGAAAUAAUAGUAACAUUCACUUUAUCAAUGGAUUGUUUUUGUCAAUUUUGUAAAUCACCUUUCAACAAUAAUUUGUCCAAUUGCUGACUCAAUCAAAAAGAUAGCUUAAGAAAUAUAUUUAUAUUUCUAAUAGUUAAAACCAGACAGUCAAGGAAUGGAUCAAAGCGUUUAUGCCAAAGGAAUGUCAUGUCUCAGAAUCUUUAGUGCCAUUUUAGUUGAUGGUUGGUAUAGUGACUUUCAAUAAAUCCAUACUUAUAUCAUUUACAAUGUAUACAAUCACAAUUCUACUACCUGGCCUGCCAUGUCAUACAAUUACUGUAUAUCUGAUACAUAUGGUAUACAUCAUCUAUUAUUACAUGUGUUACAAUCUUCUAUUUCUAUUAUCAGAACGUAGGUCAACAAUCUUCUGCAACAGAUAUUUCUAUUAUUAGAAUGUAGGUCAACAAUCUUCAGCAAGUUAUUUCUGUUAUUAGAAUGUAGGUCAACAAUCUUCUGCAACAGUUAUUUCUAUUAUUAGAAUGUAGGUCAACAAUCUUCAGCAAGUUAUUUCUGUUAUUAGAAUAUAGGUCAACAAUCUUCUGCAACAGUUAUUUCAAUUUUUAGAAUGUGGGUCAGCAAUCUUAUUAUUAGAAUGUGGGUCAACAAUCUUCUGCAGGUUAUUUCUAUUAUGAGAAUGUAGGUCAACAAUCUUCAGCAAGUUAUUUCUGUUAUUAGAAUGUAGGUCAAUAAUCUUCUGCAAGUUAUUUCUAUUAUUAGAAUGUAGGCCAACAAUCUUCUGCAUGCUAUUUCUAUUAUUAGAAUGUAGGUCAACAAUCUUCUCAAAGUUAUUUCUAUUAUUAGAAUAUUGAAGGUUAACACUCUUCUACAACAGUUAUUUCUAUUAUUAGAAUGUAGGUCACAUGGUUAUUUAUCCGUCACUGAUUUUGCAUUAAUAUUGUCAAUGAAUAGAAAUUCCUAAAACAGUUUCCUAGUUAUAGUAUUAUUUUUGAGAUUGUUUUUACUGGAAGAGUUUUCCGAAAAUCAUAUCUAAAAUGUUGACUUAAUAGGAUAGCCAACUUCAUCAUCAUAUGAUCUCUAAUCUGAAAUCUGAGAUAGAUCAGUUGGUAAGAGCAUCUGCCUACAUCAUCUCGGAUGAAGAUUUGAGGUGUGUGGUACGAUGCUCCCUGCCCAAAGUGGUUGUACCGUGUUCUCGGAAAGCUGAGAAUUAGACUGAUCUGUGCUGUUGUGGUUGUGUCCUCCGACAUUAAACACAUAAAGCCUUAUCUGUAAUUAGUUCCUAUUGUUCUCUUUUGUUCCCUUCCUCAAUGUUUAAAAAGGAUAUGUUAUUCAGUGAGGUAGCCGCCAUCUACUACAAGGAAACCUCACUAUUAGAGAAUAACCAUGGCUGUUCAUGAGGUGCUUAACCCAACAAGCAAUACAACUAAUUGAUUCCAUAUAUAGUCCAGUGAAUACAUUACAUAUCAACAGUUUAGCUGGAGGACACAUGUAAAAUCAAAUGAUGCAUGCUAUAAUUAUGUAUCAGGUAUAUAGUAAAUAUCACCUGUCAUGCUUCUCAUUCAAGCAAUCAAUAAUUUCCAUAUGUAUAAUAUGCAUUGUCAAAAAACUGCAGUGAUGAAAGAUCUUGUCAUUACCAUAUCUCAAAAUCAAGAAUGUUUCAAUUUGUCACCUAUAGUUAAAACCUCUCUCAAUCGAUUUUAUUAUAUUAACAAUCGUACAGUCUGUUAAUCUAAACAAUAUUAAGUUCCUUAAACUGAUUUUUUUAUUUUGUUCAGAAGUAAUGGAAUUUCUGGAGAUUACUGCAUUAAUCACAAUUUGAGCAGGCCAUUAUAUAGCCAGUGUAGAUAUUUAGCCAGUGUGAUCACCUUGAACAUUUUCCAGCAUCUAAUGAUAUUUGGAGUUCUGCUUUAUAUAGCAAAUUAAGUACCUAAGGAAUGUUUUUUCUUCUAGAUGCCUUUCUGGUAUGUAAACAAAUGUAUACCUGGUAAUCAUCUGUUCAGUUUUCUACAAAUAGAUUGUCGUCUAUGAAUGAUGAAUCUGGCGUAAAUUAUACACUUGUAAAAGAUCUAUUUGUGUGUCUGCAAGAUAUCUUGAAAAUGAAAUGGAUUGAGUGUACAUGCUAUGACCACAUAUAUACUAUAUAUAGCACACUUGGUGAUUACCGUAAUUUACUAUAUGAGCUUCCAUGUCCAACAUGACCGACAUCCCAGCUAACACGUCCACAUUGCACUUCAUAGUGCUGCUUAUUUUUAUACAAUUUAAAAUGUAUUUCUUAUAAAAGUGUAUGUUGUGCUGUCAUUUGUAGAGUUGUACCAUAAUAUACAUGUAUAUAGUGUAAUAUAUACGUAUAAACGGUGUUAUAUACAUGUACAUGUAUACCGUGUAUGUUUUACAUCCCGAUUCACCUGCAAUAAUACUUUUAGUUAUAGGUUCAUUACAUCAUUGUAAAAAAUAUUAUGAUCCAUGUGAUGCCAAAAUGCACAGUUACUUGAUAGGUGCUUCCACAUUUGUGAACAAAAUGAUGAAGACAAAUUUUUUUGUUUAUCUUAAGUCAAAAUGGCCAGGAACAAAUGAGUUAUGUUUAGAAAAUGUAAAUUUUUUUUUUAUUAUUAUUAUUUUGUAAAUUGUACUGGAAGGUGAGAAUUUAUGGAAAGAGGCAAGCAGAAACAAAGAUCAAACUGAUAGUGUUAUAUAUUAUUAUAUUACAACUUAAUUAUUUGAUAUGACACGAUUGAUUUAGAUUUGUUUUUUAUUAAUGAUGCAAACACUUUUGUAAUGAUUGUGAAAUCGUUUUAUAAAUGACAAUUUUCCGAGGUUUUCAGAGAUUUUAUCUGCUGAUUUUUGGGAGGUCAGGUUUUAUUUACUGAACAUGAUGUUCUGGUAUUUUCAUUAUGAGAAUAUGUGAGUUAAAAACAGUGUCCAAGAGGAGGUAAAAACCUUCAAAAUGUGUUAUACUAGAGAUGUGUAAUGAGUGCAUGCAGGUGUUACAUUAUUGUAUCACACAGACCUAACUUGUAGGUAUAACAUGUGAUCGGUCAUCUGUCCUCAUUACUUGUAGGUAUAACAUGUGAUCGGUCAUCUGUCCUCAUUAACUUGUAGGUAUAACAUGUGAUCGGUCAUCUGUCCUCAUUAACUUGUAGGUAUAACAUGUGAACGGUCAUCUGUCCUCAUUAACUUGUAGGUAUAACAUGUGAUCGGUCAUCUGUCCUCAUUAACUUGUAGGUGUAACAUGUGAUCGGUCAUCUGUCCUCAGUAACUUGUAGGUAUAACAUGUGAUCGGUCAUCUGUCCUCAGUAACCUGUAGGUAAAACAUGUGAUCGGUCAUCUGUCCUCAGUAACUUGUAGGUACAUACAUGUAUAACAUGUGAUCGGUCAUCUGUCCUGUAGGUAUAACAUGUGAUCGGUCAUCUGUUCUCAGUAACUUGUAGGUAUAACAUGUGAUCGGUCAUCUGUCCUCAUUAACUUGUAGGUAUAACAUGUGAUCGGUCAUCUGUCCUCAUUACUUGUAGGUAUAACAUGUGAUCGGUCAUCUGUCCUGUAGGUAUAACUUGUGAUCGGUCAUCUGUCCUCAGUAACUUGUAGGUAUAACAUGUGAUCGGUCAUCUGUCCUCAGUAACCUGUAGGUAUAACAUGUGAUCGGUCAUCUGUCCUCAGUAACUUGUAGGUACAUACAUGUAUAACAUGUGAUCGGUCAUCUGUCCUCAGUAACUUGUAGGUAUAACAUGUGAUCGGUCAUCUGUCCUCAAUAACUUGUAGGUAUAACAUGUGAUCGGUCAUCUGUCCUCAUUAACUUGUAGGUAUAACAUGUGAUCGGUCAUCUGUCCUCAUUAACUUGUAGGUAUAACAUGUGAUCGGUCAUCUGUCCUCAUUACUUGUAGGUAUAACAUGUGAUCGGUCAUCUGUCCUCAGUAACCUGUAGGUAUAACAUGUGAUCGGUCAUCUGUCCUCAUUAACUUGUAGGUAUAACAUGUGAUCGGUCAUCUGUCCUGUAGGUAUAACAUGUGAUCGGUCAUCUGUUCUGUAGGUAUAACAUGUGAUCGGUCAUCUGUCCUGUAGGUAUAACAUGUGAUCGGUCAUCUGUCCUCAGUAACUUGUAGGUAUAACAUGUGAUCGGUCAUCUGUCCUGUAGGUAUAACAUGUGAUCGGUCAUCUGUCCUCAGUAACUUGUAGGUAUAACAUGUGAUCGGUCAUCUGUCCUCAGUAACUUGUAGGUAUAACAUGUGAUCGGCCAUCUGUCUUAAGUAACUUGUAGUGUCUUGUGUACUUAGACUUUCCAUUUUCCAUUCCUGUAUUAGAUCUAUUUUUGAUGAAUUAUAACGUUAUACCCUUAGUGUAGUAACUUACUGUCCAUUCCUAAGUUUGUCAGUUCUGUUGAUGUGAGAUAGGAUACAAGAUUUUAUUUACAGAACAAUGUUCAUAUGAAUGGUGUUUUAUGAAUGUGUGUGAUUUUAUCUGCUUCACAAACUCUUAUUUCAUAAUUAAAGCUUAAAUUUGUAAGAAUGCAUGGUCAAUAAUAGAAAAUGCUGAAUUGUCCUUAUAUACUGUAUAUACAUAAAAAACAUGUAUAUAGAUAGAUAUAUUUAUGAGGCGAUAUAUACUUACAUGACACUGAUUUCUAUAUAUAUGUAUUACUAACAUGAAGAGAUUUUACAGCUGUGUGCAUCACCUUGUAUGGUCCUAGUGCUCUGUAGUAAGCACAGCCUGUACAUGUCAGUGAUUUGAUAUGGUGUAUCCAUAGUAACAAGGCCUUGUAGGAUACAUAUUUUAGACCCAUAUAAAUUGUUUCUGUUUACCUAUGUUAAGUUUCUAAUUAAACCAUGAUAAAACAAUAUGUAAAUUCAAUACAGUAAAAUAAUUAUUAUACAAAA